GAUGAACGCUGGCGGCGUGCCUAAUACAUGCAAGUCGAGCGAACGGACGAGAAGCUUGCUUCUCUGAUGUUAGCGGCGGACGGGUGAGUAACACGUGGAUAACCUACCUAUAAGACUGGGAUAACGUCGGGAAACCGGAGCUAAUACCGGAUAAUAUUGUGAACCGCAUGGUUCAAAAGUGAAAGACGGUCUUGCUGUCACUUAUAGAUGGAUCCGCGCUGCAUUAGCUAGUUGGUAAGGUAACGGCUUACCAAGGCAACGAUGCAUAGCCGACCUGAGAGGGUGAUCGGCCACACUGGAACUGAGACACGGUCCAGACUCCUACGGGAGGCAGCAGUAGGGAAUCUUCCGCAAUGGGCGAAAGCCUGACGGAGCAACGCCGCGUGAGUGAUGAAGGUCUUCGGAUCGUAAAACUCUGUUAUUAGGGAAGAACAUAUGUGUAAGUAACUGUGCACAUCUUGACGGUACCUAAUCAGAAAGCCACGGCUAACUACGUG
RNAcentral lists this ribosomal RNA (497 nucleotides) under uncultured bacterium. RNAcentral's name for it is "partial 16S ribosomal RNA". It matches the Rfam family "Bacterial small subunit ribosomal RNA", at positions 28 to 507 of the family's 1533-position model. The record is from RNAcentral.